AAGUAUGGAGUUGGAAUUUCAAGGGUAACAAUAACCAUCUUUUCUUUGGCAUUAGGGAACAAAUGAUCCAGUAAUCAUUUUUCUUUGACAAAGGUGCUAAAUAAGAAAAUUUUAAGCAUUCUAUGUUAAUAUGCCACUUUUCAGUUAGAUGGAUUUGGAUUCUUUAGAAUUCAAUUGAGUUGUGUUUUCUAUUUCACCUUAACACAACUUAGGUCCAGUUUGGCAUUACUGUUGAGAAAAUCACCUUUUUAAAUAUACUAGUUAGAGAGUGUUAAAAAAUAAUUAAAAAUUAAAUUUGAUC
RNAcentral lists this unclassified non-coding RNA (301 nucleotides) under Hevea brasiliensis (rubber tree). Lineage: Eukaryota; Viridiplantae; Streptophyta; Magnoliopsida; Malpighiales; Euphorbiaceae. The record is from RNAcentral.